This 440-nucleotide ribosomal RNA is filed under the name uncultured bacterium. Its description in RNAcentral is "partial 16S ribosomal RNA". It matches the Rfam family "Bacterial small subunit ribosomal RNA", at positions 338 to 795 of the family's 1533-position model. The record is from RNAcentral.
CCUACGGGGGGCAGCAGUGGGGAAUAUUGCACAAUGGGGGAAACCCUGAUGCAGCGACGCCGCGUGAGUGAAGAAGUAAUUCGUUACGUAAAGCUCUAUCAGCAGGGAAGAAAAUGACGGUACCUGAGUAAGAAGCCCCGGCUAACUACGUGCCAGCAGCCGCGGUAAUACGUAGGGGGCAAGCGUUAGCCGGAUUUACUGGGGGUACAGGGAGCGUAGACGGUGGGCCAAGUCUGGAGUGAAAUGCCGCGGCUUAACUGCGGGACUGCUUUGGAAACUGGCGAACUAGAGUGCGGGAGGGGUAAGCGGAAUUCCUGGUGUAGCGGUGAAAUGCGUAGAUAUUAGGAGGAACACCGGUGGCGAAGGCGGCUUACUGGACCGUAACUGACGUUGAGGCUCGAAAGCGUGGGGAGCAAACAGGAUUAGAUACCCUGGUAGUC